GUAGGUGGCAAGCGUUGUCCGGAAUUAUUGGGCGUAAAGCGCGCGCAGGUGGUUCUUUAAGUCUGAUGUGAAAGCCCCCGGCUCAACCGGGGAGGGUCAUUGGAAACUGGGGAACUUGAGUGCAGGAGAGGAAAGUGGAAUUCCACGUGUAGCGGUGAAAUGCGUAGAUAUGUGGAGGAACACCAGUGGCGAAGGCGACUUUCUGGCCUGUAACUGACACUGAGGCGCGAAAGCGUGGGGAGCAAACAGGGAUUAGAUACCCUGGUAGUCCACGCCGUAAACGAUGAGUGCUAAGUGUUGGGGGGGUUUCCCGCCCCUCAGUGCUGCAGCUAACGCAUUAAGCACUCCGCCUGGGGAGUACGGUCGCAAGACUA
RNAcentral lists this ribosomal RNA (374 nucleotides) under uncultured organism. RNAcentral's name for it is "partial 16S ribosomal RNA". It matches the Rfam family "Bacterial small subunit ribosomal RNA", at positions 527 to 896 of the family's 1533-position model. The record is from RNAcentral.